ACUAACCCUAGCCUAACCUUACACACAAUUCAAAUAUCAUAAACAAUAAAAAUAAAACAUUCACAUAAAAAAGUAUAGGAGAUAGAAAUUUAUAUAAGCGCUAUAGAGAUAGUACCGUAAGGGAAAGAUGAAAGAACAACAAAAAGUUCAAAAUAGCAUAGAUUACACCUAGUACCUUUUGCAUAAUGGGUUAACUAGAAAACCUUGACAAAAAGAACUUAAGUCAAUAAUCCCGAAACCAAGCGAGCUACUUUUGAACAGCUAAAAUGAGCAAACUCGUCUAUGUGGCAAAAUAGUGAGAAGAUUUAAAAGUAGAGGCGAAAAACCUAUCGAGCUUGGAGAUAGCUGGUUGUCCAAACAAGAAUUUUAGUUCAACUUUAAGUUUUCCUAAAACACUAAAAUUCAAAUGAAAACUUAAAGGUUAACUUAAGGAGGGACAGCUCCUUAAAUAAGGAUACAUCCUUAAGCAAAGGGUAAACAAAUAAGAUAUCAUAGUAGGCCUAAAAGCAGCCAUCAAUUAAGAAAGCGUUCAAGCUCAACAAAAUAUUCAAACUAAUAAAUAUCAAAAAUAUAAAUCAUCCCCUGCUUAAUCAAUUGGACUAAUCUAUAAAAAUAUAGAAGAAAAAAUGUUAACAUCAGUAAUUAGAACUAUUUCUCCCCGCACAAGCCUAAGUUUAACAAUACAAACCAAUUAACAACCCUAUAUAAAUACACCCAACAAGUCAAUUAUUAUUACAACUGUUAACCCAACUCAGGAGUGCAACAAGGAAAGACUAAACUAAGUAAAAGGAACUCGGCAAACAUAAACCCCGCCUGUUUACCAAAAACAUCACCUCUAGCAUAACAAGUAUUAGAGGCACUGCCUGCCCAGUGACAACUCAUGUUCAACGGCCGCGGUAUUCUGACCGUGCAAAGGUAGCAUAAUCAUUUGUUCUUUAAUUGAGGACUAGUAUGAAGGGCUUCACGAGGGUUUAACUGUCUCUUUCUUACAGUCAGUGAAAUUGACCUCCCCGUGAAGAGGCGGGGAUAAAACAAUAAGACGAGAAGACCCUAUGGAGCUUAAAUGUAUUAAUUCAUUUUCUAACAUUCUUACUCAACAAGAAACAAAAAAUGAGCUAUGAAUUAAUAAUUUUGGUUGGGGUGACCUCGGAGAAUAACUAAACCUCCGAAUGAUAUUAACUUAGACCAACAAGUCGCAGUGUUAUCAUAAAUUGACCCAGAAAAACAUCUGAUCAACGGACCAAGUUACCCUAGGGAUAACAGCGCAAUCCUAUUUCAGAGUCCAUAUCGACAAUAGGGUUUACGACCUCGAUGUUGGAUCAGGACUUCCAAAUGGUGCAGCAGCUAUUAAAGGUUCGUUUGUUCAACGAUUAAAGUCCUACGUGAUCUGAGUUCAGACCGGAGCAAUCCAGGUCGGUUUCUAUCUAUUAUAAAUUUCUCCCAGUACGAAAGGACAAGAGAAACAAGGCCAAUGAGUUAAUCACGCCUUAGUAGUUAAAGAAUGAUAUCAUAUUAAUUCUUUAACUACUAAAAACUCACAACCCGAGAGAAGGGUUU
This 1557-nucleotide ribosomal RNA is filed under the name Callistomys pictus (painted tree-rat). RNAcentral's name for it is "16S ribosomal RNA". It matches the Rfam family "Bacterial large subunit ribosomal RNA". Lineage: Eukaryota; Metazoa; Chordata; Mammalia; Rodentia; Echimyidae. The record is from RNAcentral.